This 115-nucleotide non-coding RNA is filed under the name uncultured Ochromonas. The record is from RNAcentral. Lineage: Eukaryota; Chrysophyceae; Chromulinales; Chromulinaceae.
AGAGAUCCAUCAAAUGAAGAAUCGGAAAGAUGAUAAGAAGAAGGAAAUAAAGUGGAGAUAAAAAUUGAUCUCUCUUUCCUUUUGUUUUUCUUCUUUCUUAUCUCUCCUCCCUUCU